CCUCCUGCCUCAGCCUCCUGAGCCUCUGGGAUUACAGGCGUGUGCUACUGGCCCUGGCUGGACCAACCUGCUUGAGUCUUGGGGCAGUUUCUGGUUCUUGUCAAGGUAAGCAGGACCCUGCUGGGAUGUGGUGACAAUGGCUAUUUAUUGGGAAAGGACAUAGGGACAGUGAAGGGAAGGCGCAGAAGCCCAGGAGAGACAAGCAACGCGUCAGAGAAAAGGUUUAUUUCGGCUCACGUUUUUGGGGGUUCCAAACUUGUCCCCUGUGAUGAGUCAGCUCACCGUCCCAGAGCACCGGGGUGGGGUCCCCAGUGGCCUAAGGGCCUCCCACCAGGCUCUCUCUCAAAGCCUCCACACCCAGCAUGUCCCUGUGCAUGCAGUCGGGGGGCUGCACCCACCCAGAGGUGGUCUUUGGACAAAUUAGAAAAAGAACGCUGUAGUUGGGCACAGUGGCACACUCCUAUGAUCCCAGAGGCUCAGGAGGCUGAGACAGGAGGAUUGUGAGUUCAAAGCCAGCUUUGCAAUUUAGCGAGGCCCUAAGCAACUUAGUGAGACCCUGUCUCUAAAUUAAAAAAAAAAAAAAAAAUUCUUAAAGGGCUGAGGAUGUGGUUCAGUGGUCAACUGCCCCUGGGUUCAAUCCCUGGUACCAAAAAAGAAAAGAAAGAAAGGGAAGAAAUCUCCUCCCUGGGGAAGUGCAGAGAGGAGGCCAGGCUGGAGUCCAGAUUGCCCCAAGGGCACUGAGAAGGCCUGGGCCCCACAGUUCAGGACUAUUAAGGAGCUUCCUGCAUGGCUCUCCUCCCAUGGAGACGGACAGUACCUCCCAGGACUGUGAUUCCUCCUUGCAAUCCGGAAGAGUCUAACUUGAGUAGCAGGAAAGAAGCCUUAGGAGCUUGUCCCCCCACCCCACCCCCCCCUUCCUCAGGGCUUGUUCUCUCCUGCCAUCCUCCACGUGGCCACCGGAGGGCGCUCUCUAUGCACAAGGCAACUCGGUCCCAGGAGGGGUUCAGGGUGCAGCCCCAGGCCCCCGCAGGCAGCUACCACUGCUUGUUCUUGGGGAGCAGGCUACUGCUCAGCCCUGGGCAUUGCUCAGGCUGUUCUUCCUGCCCCUCUGCAUCUAGGUUCAAUUCAUCUGCCACCCCCCCACACACACCUUCCCUGACCUUCCAACAUGCCUGGUGGGUCAAGGCCUCUGCUGCAUCUUCACAGCUCUUCCUAAAGCUCUCUCUUGGUACUUCUGUGCUGCUUUCAAACCCUAACGAAAAGUUGGAUAACUUGGGCCUUAACAACAGGACCCGCCGUGGAUCGCAGUGCAUUAAACACAGCUCAAUCCAGGACUUCGUAGUGCUGCUAAAAAGAACAACUGAUGGCCCCGAGAGCGCCAAGCAGCAUACACGUGACUCCGAAAACUAACAAAAGGAAGCAUUUAGG
Molecule: long non-coding RNA, 1428 nt
Filed under: Marmota monax (woodchuck)
Lineage: Eukaryota; Metazoa; Chordata; Mammalia; Rodentia; Sciuridae
Source: RNAcentral